Molecule: signal recognition particle RNA, 298 nt
Filed under: Aegilops tauschii subsp. strangulata
Lineage: Eukaryota; Viridiplantae; Streptophyta; Magnoliopsida; Poales; Poaceae
Description: SRP RNA Plant_SRP
Rfam family: Plant signal recognition particle RNA
Source: Rfam by way of RNAcentral
GCCGAGCUCAGUUGCGAGAGCUUGUAACCUGAGUAGGGGUAUUAAGGUGAUGUGGACGGUGUUGUAACGUUGUGGGCUUGGUCUGGGUGUGCUACUGCUGGCCCGCCCGUUUCAAGUUGCGUAGUGGACCGCUUGGGGCCUAUGCGAAAGCUGGGCCUCACGGUCCAUAAUAUGGUAGGUACAGCGUGAGGCUGGCUUCACAGGACAACUGCCCGCUUCCAACGGUGGAAGGAUAACGGGCCGCUGCACUCCUGGGCCACUUGGGCCUCGCAGCCUACUCCAGCGAACCAUCACUUUU